RNAcentral lists this small RNA (523 nucleotides) under Pongo abelii (Sumatran orangutan). Its description in RNAcentral is "sense intronic". The record is from RNAcentral. Lineage: Eukaryota; Metazoa; Chordata; Mammalia; Primates; Hominidae.
CUGUACUAUUCACUGUCUUCAACAAAAGUCAGCUAUUUCAGGAAACUCUCGUCCAGAAAGAUAAAAAUUGAGAAUGAGACAUCAAUCAAUAUACGGAAGAUUUACAUGGUUCGAUCUGGAAGGGUGGGACAAUUCGAAGGGUGAGGAGAGAAGAGGAGCUUCCGGGUCAUAGGCGGUCAGGGAGAAGUCAAAGCUUCUAGAAGAGGUAGGUCACUCCUGCCCCUUAACUCCUCAGUCCAGCUCUCCUCUAGGACCUCAGAGACUCCACUUUGCCCAUUUGCAAGUCAGUUCUUGCACUUUUCCAUGGUGGAAAAUAUUCUUAUAUUGUUGCCAGUGCAGAAUCAACCACUGACCUACCAGAAUCCACCAUGGACCUAAAGUCACCCACAGAUGUGUACUUGGAGAACACCCAGGCUUUUGAAAACGAAGCAAAUUCUCCAUUAGCUGUGAUGAUCACUGCUAUCCACUACUUUCUAAGAAGACUCUGUGCUUUUGAGCAUGCCUACCACUACACUAUAGGAGA